This 477-nucleotide long non-coding RNA is filed under the name Homo sapiens (human). RNAcentral's name for it is "HSALNT0074749". Lineage: Eukaryota; Metazoa; Chordata; Mammalia; Primates; Hominidae. The record is from RNAcentral.
CACCCACUAUCUGGCACUCCCUAGUGAGAUGAACCCGGUACCUCAGAUGGAAAUGCAGAAAUCACCAUCUUCUGCGUCGCUCACGCUGGGAGCUGUAGACCGGAGCUGUUCCUAUUCGGCCAUCUUGGCUCCUGUCCCUGAUAGCUUUUUCAUAACGUUAAAAUGGAAAUUGACUUCCUUGUUCUGAGCUGCCCCAUGGAGAGGCCAUGUGGCAAAGAAUUGAGGGUGGCCUCCAGCCAACAGCCAGCAAGGAACUGUGGCCUUCGGUGGGAGGAACAGAAUCCAACUAACAACCAUAUGAGUGAGCUUGGAAGCAGAUGCUUCCCCGGUUGAGACCUGAGAUGACUGUAGACCCAGUUGACACCUUGAUUGCAGCCUAUGAAAGGCCCUAAAGCAGGGGACCCAGCUAAGCCAAGGCCAGGUUCCUGACCCAUAGGAACUGUGAGAUAAUAAAAUUUUUUUUUUGUAAACCACUAA